This 459-nucleotide ribosomal RNA is filed under the name uncultured bacterium. Its description in RNAcentral is "partial 16S ribosomal RNA". It matches the Rfam family "Bacterial small subunit ribosomal RNA", at positions 338 to 795 of the family's 1533-position model. The record is from RNAcentral.
CCUACGGGUGGCAGCAGUGAGGAAUCUUGGUCAAUGGACGAGAGUCUGAACCAGCCAAGUAGCGUGAAGGAUGACUGUCCUAUGGGUUGUAAACUUCUUUUAUAAAGGAAUAAAACGAGGCACGUGUGCCUUUUUGCAUGUACUCUAUGAAUAAGGAUCGGCUAACUCCGUGCCAGCAGCCGCGGUAAUACGGGGGAUCCGAGCGUUAUCCGGAUUUAUGGGGUUUAUAGGUAGCGUAGCUGGUUUGUUAAGUCAGUUCUGAAAGUUGGCGGCUCAACCCCAGCCAGCAGUUGAAACUGGGGGUCUAGAGUGUGCGAGAGGUAUGCGGAAUGCGUGGUGUAGCAGUGAAAUGCGUAGAUAUCGCGCAGAACCCAGAUGGCGAAGGCAGCAUACCGGUGCACAACUGACGCUCAGGCACGAAGGCGUGGGUAUCGAACAGGAUUAGAUACCCCUGUAGUC